This 160-nucleotide ribosomal RNA is filed under the name Triticum aestivum (bread wheat). RNAcentral's name for it is "5.8S ribosomal RNA from Triticum aestivum (PDB 4V7E, chain Ac)". It matches the Rfam family "5.8S ribosomal RNA". Rfam says of the family: 5.8S ribosomal RNA (5.8S rRNA) is a component of the large subunit of the eukaryotic ribosome. It is transcribed by RNA polymerase I as part of the 45S precursor that also contains 18S and 28S rRNA. Lineage: Eukaryota; Viridiplantae; Streptophyta; Magnoliopsida; Poales; Poaceae. The record is from RNAcentral.
CGACUCUCGGCAACGGAUAUCUCGGCUCUCGCAUCGAUGAAGAACGUAGCGAAAUGCGAUACCUGGUGUGAAUUGCAGAAUCCCGUGAACCAUCGAGUCUUUGAACGCAAGUUGCGCCCGAGGCCAUCCGGCCGAGGGCACGCCUGCCUGGGCGUCACGC